UAAAACGUAGGAGGCGAGCGUUAUCCGGAUUUACUGGGCGUAAAGCGCGUGCAGGCGGUAAGGAAAGUUGGAUGUGAAAGCUCCCGGCUUAACUGGGAGAGGUCGUUCAAAACUACCUAACUAGAGUAUGGGAGAGGGAAGUGGAAUUCCGGGUGUAGUGGUGAAAUGCGUAGAUAUCCGGAGGAACACCAGUGGCGAAAGCGGCUUCCUGGUCCAAGACUGACGCUCAGACGCGAAAGCUAGGGUAGCAAACGGGAUUAGAGACCCCGGUAGUCCUAGCCGUAAACGAUGUGGACUUGGCGUCGGCGGGUUUAAAUCCGUCGGUGUCGAAGCAAACGCGAUAAGUCCACCGCCUGGGGACUACGGCCGCAAGGUUAAAACUUAAAUGAAUUGACGG
RNAcentral lists this ribosomal RNA (397 nucleotides) under uncultured bacterium. RNAcentral's name for it is "bacterial SSU rRNA". It matches the Rfam family "Bacterial small subunit ribosomal RNA", at positions 521 to 916 of the family's 1533-position model. The record is from RNAcentral.